Molecule: ribosomal RNA, 253 nt
Filed under: uncultured bacterium
Lineage: Bacteria
Description: partial 16S ribosomal RNA
Rfam family: Bacterial small subunit ribosomal RNA
Source: RNAcentral
CACGUAGGGCGCAAGCGUUGUCCGGAAUUAUUGGGCGUAAAGAGCGUGUAGGCGGCUAGGUAGGUGGGUUGUGAAAACUGGAGGCUCAACCUUCAGACGUCGACCCAAACCCCCUGGCUAGAGUCCGGAAGAGGAGAGUGGAAUUCCUGGUGUAGCGGUGAAAUGCGCAGAUAUCAGGAAGAACACCCGUGGCGAAGGCGGCUCUCUGGGACGGUACUGACGCUGAGACGCGAAAGCGUGGGGAGCGAACAGG